CAAAGUGUGGUUCAAAUGGUAGAGCACCUGCCUCGUAAGCAUGAAGCUCUGAGUUCAAAUCCUGGUACUGUUC
This 73-nucleotide transfer RNA is filed under the name Dipodomys ordii (Ord's kangaroo rat). It matches the Rfam family "tRNA". Rfam says of the family: Transfer RNA (tRNA) molecules are approximately 80 nucleotides in length. Their secondary structure includes four short double-helical elements and three loops (D, anti-codon, and T loops). The record is from Rfam by way of RNAcentral. Lineage: Eukaryota; Metazoa; Chordata; Mammalia; Rodentia; Heteromyidae.